Long non-coding RNA from Helianthus annuus (common sunflower), 997 nucleotides. RefSeq lists it as uncharacterized. The record is from RefSeq and is a predicted model, not a curated record. NCBI's taxonomy places the organism in Eukaryota, Viridiplantae, Streptophyta, Magnoliopsida, Asterales, Asteraceae. The transcript has 7 exons.
GCUCCAUCUAGUUGUAGGUUAUAGACUUUCAAUUUGCCACUUUCAGUCCCCGAACUUAUCUUUCUAAUCUUAUUACAAUACAAACUAUCUAUUAACUAUUUACCGAACAACCCUCGAACUUAAGGAUGUGUAGGGAUUAUAACUUUCAGGAAUCGAACCGAGUGUUUAAAGGAAAGGGUUAUUUGUUACUGCCACUGCUGCAAGGUUACUAAGCCAAUCCACGAUUAAGAACUCAACUUGACAAGAUAUUAGACGUACACGUACUAACCCGAGUCAACAAGAAGCUCCUUAGAACAACACUUCAAGACCAGAGCACCUAAUUUGUCCAAGCAACAAUAUGGGAGGAUGUUGCGACUUCCUACAACAAAGGGUGGCCCUGCUGAGAUGUUCACCUGUGCACUUCACUAGGGCUACACGCGUGUGACAUAAAUACACGUUAACCCAGAUUUGAAGAAAUAGAAAAAAUACAUGCAUAUCGACAAGAGGGCAUGAAUACACGUUUGCUGACAUGCACAACGAAAGUAAAAAAGAAACAAUAGCCUCUGUUCGUAACCGUUGAGUUUGGGAUUUCAGGUAUCCGUUAGGCGUCCCAUGGAUCAGAUAUCAUGGUUAUUACGAAGAUCUACACAUAAAUGUCAUAUAUCCGGGAAAGGACUGUGACUUAGUGUCCAUGGUGAAUUUAAGAGCAUCAUUGUCCAUCAAGUGGGCCUGCCCUGAACCUUGAGAAGAAAACGGGGCAUGUCCUGAACUUUGAGAAGAACUGGGUCUAUUAUUACUGUUGAGGUACAGAAUGGAGGGGCAGCCCAGCAGGGUGGAUUGGGCCAACCAGGUUGAGGAUACAAAAAAAAUGUUGAAUCUGCGCCAUCAUCAUUCAGUGAUUGCAAAUAAAUUAGAUUGCGUGAAAUAAUAAAUCUUGCAAAAUCCGGCAAAAAAUCAUGUUUUUUGAUUCUGUAAUUUUCUUUUUGAGAAGCUGACAUGUCACCUUAUUUUUUGAUAC